UGGGGAAUAUUGCACAAUGGGCGCAAGCCUGAUGCAGCCAUGCCGCGUGUAUGAAGAAGGCCUUCGGGUUGUAAAGUACUUUCAGCGGGGAGGAAGGGAGUAAAGUUAAUACCUUUGCUCAUUGACGUUACCCGCAGAAGAAGCACCGGCUAACUCCGUGCCAGCAGCCGCGGUAAUACGGAGGGUGCAAGCGUUAAUCGGAAUUACUGGGCGUAAAGCGCACGCAGGCGGUUUGUUAAUUCAGAUGUGAAAUCCCCGGGCUCAACCUGGGAACUGCAUCUGAUACUGGCAAGCUUGAGUCUCGUAGAGGGGGGUAGAAUUCCAGGUGUAGCGGUGAAAUGCGUAGAGAUCUGGAGGAAUACCGGUGGCGAAGGCGGCCCCCUGGACGAAGACUGACGCUCAGGUGCGAAAGCGUGGGGAGCAAACA
Molecule: ribosomal RNA, 427 nt
Filed under: uncultured bacterium
Lineage: Bacteria
Description: partial 16S ribosomal RNA
Rfam family: Bacterial small subunit ribosomal RNA
Source: RNAcentral